This 391-nucleotide ribosomal RNA is filed under the name uncultured bacterium. RNAcentral's name for it is "bacterial SSU rRNA". It matches the Rfam family "Bacterial small subunit ribosomal RNA", at positions 29 to 410 of the family's 1533-position model. The record is from RNAcentral.
AAUGAACGCUGGCGGCGCGCCUAAUACAUGCAAGUCGAGCGAGAAGACGUAGCAAUACGUUUGUAAAGCGGCGAACGGGUGAGGAAUACAUGGGUAACCUACCCUCGAGUGGGGAAUAACUAGCCGAAAGGUUAGCUAAUACCGCGUACGCUCCUUGGACUUCGGUUCAGGGAGGAAAGCGAUACCGUGGGUAUCGCGCUCUUGGUUGGGCUCAUGUCCUAUCAGCUUGUUGGUGAGGUAACGGCUCACCAAGGCUUCGACGGGUAGCUGGUCUGAGAGGACGAUCAGCCACACUGGCACUGCGACACGGGCCAGACUCCUACGGGAGGCAGCAGUAAGGAAUAUUGCGCAAUGGGCGAAAGCCUGACGCAGCGACGCCGCGUGGGGGAUG